This 655-nucleotide unclassified non-coding RNA is filed under the name Hevea brasiliensis (rubber tree). The record is from RNAcentral. Lineage: Eukaryota; Viridiplantae; Streptophyta; Magnoliopsida; Malpighiales; Euphorbiaceae.
AGUUUUCAUUUGAAUACUCCAAGAACAAAUUCACUGCUAUAACAUGGUAAAAAGGCUCUGUCACUAACAACCAACAGAAUACACAAAUAGCACAAGGCAUUGAGCUGUUUGAGAAAAGGUAUUUCCAUUCUAUCAUCUGCCUGCCUUAAUUCUUUAAAUCACAGAUAAAAACAUGAUUGCGAAAGAAACUACAAAGUAUAAACACAGCUGAAUCAGGCUGACAUUUAUUUUGAUUUAGUGAAGGCAACAGCAUUUGUCAAUCAAACCCAUUUCAGGAAGAGAAAGUAAAUAAGAAACAAGACCCGUCUCAACUAAUAGUGGCCAUGUUGAAGUACUAAACCAGGCAAAACAUUACCAAUAAAGGUAUUAGCAAUCAAUAACCCAAUAGAUCACCAGCUAAAAUAUGGUUCAAGAGUCACGGGACUUCACAAUGAAGUUUUGGCGACUGAUUGGAUUCAUCACAACUGGUGGCCCUGCAGUACGAGGCCAUGCCUGGAAUUUCUUGUCAGUUUCUUCCCACCAUUCAUUGCUUGCAACAGUUUUAGGGGUAGUGCCUCCAAAUAUCUUCUUGUCAGCAAUAAGUUGGUCACAUGCAUAUGCAAUCGCAAAUGAUCCGACUACAGCAGAAAUAAUAUACUUGGCUGCCAUGCUCAAA